GCUCAUCAUGAGGAAGUGAGCCGUGGCGGGCGGCGGAGGAGGAGCACGUGUACAACUCAUCUUCCCAAGCUAUCAAUGGCAAGUGAUAGAGCAGUCCUUAUAAAGGAGUCUUACUCUUAUUAUUGUAGCAGUAUGAUACUAAACUUUCCAUCAUUUGCCGUACACUCACAUGGGCAUAGAGAUUAACUAGGGAUUAUCGUCUUAUAUGGGUCUAAGCCCAUCUAUAAUCCAACAGUAGGGAGGUCCAA
Molecule: long non-coding RNA, 248 nt
Filed under: Hordeum vulgare
Lineage: Eukaryota; Viridiplantae; Streptophyta; Magnoliopsida; Poales; Poaceae
Description: long non-coding RNA (HVUL_LNC017180)
Source: RNAcentral